GGCUCUGGGAAAGGUGACAGCACUCCUGACCCUGGUGACUCUGCCAGGUGAGCCAGGGCUGCUGGUGGCCCCGGUAAGCCAGCAGUCCCCAUUCCUGGGCUAUGCUGGCAGGCCAGAGCUGGCCCAGGGGAAGUUGCUAAAGGAUGUCUUCCGGCCUGGGGAUGUUUUCUUCAACACUGGGGACCUGCUGGUCUGCGAUGACCAAGGUUUUCUCCGCUUCCAUGAUCGUACUGGAGACACCUUCAGGUGGAAGGGGGAGAAUGUGGCCACAACCGAGGUGGCAGAGGUCUUCGAGGCCCUGGAUUUUCUUCAGGAGGUGAACAUCUAUGGAGUCACUGUGCCAGGGCAUGAAGGCAGGGCUGGAAUGGCAGCCCUAGUUCUGCGUCCCCCCCACUCUUUGGACCUUAUGCAGCUCUACACCCACGUGUCUGAGAACUUGCCACCUUAUGCCCGGCCCCGAUUCCUCAGGCUCCAGGUAACCAGCCACUUCCCCCGCUGGCCGCUCACCCCAUAUAUCCUCACCCCACAUAUCCACCCCAUGUAUCAACUUGGGAGUUUGAUGGCUCCCAAACUCCACAAAGGGACCCCCAACGUAAUACACUCCGUGAAGAGAAAAAACACGGAGAUGCGCGCUCU
This 636-nucleotide small RNA is filed under the name Pongo abelii (Sumatran orangutan). RNAcentral describes it as "retained intron". Lineage: Eukaryota; Metazoa; Chordata; Mammalia; Primates; Hominidae. The record is from RNAcentral.